CUCCUCUCUUAGUAAAAUGCUUUGCGUGCUUUACCAGCACUGAAAAGAAAAAUAGUUAUAAUUGUGGAAGGUGGUUUUAAUGGUGGCCAUCAAAAAUAUCUUGGAUGUAGAAGCCAUUGCAGACUUUGCUGAUGGUUGUCUAACUGUCCAUUGUGUGUAUAUAUAUAUAUGUAUAUACACAAACACAUGGAAAAAAGAAUCACAACAGUUAAGCUAUGCCAGCUGAGAUAUUUCACACUGGACAGCUGUAAAUGCGAGAACUAGAAAAGCAUUUGAUUGCAGCUUUUGCCUACCUGAGGAAAAAGAAUUUGAAAAGCUCUUAAGAGCCCAACAGUGAAACUUCUGAAGAAUGAUUAUCUUCCCUCUCCUUUUGGGCCAAGCUGAGAGAAGAAAAGCAAGUAGGAUGCGGGUCCACUGAUAAAGCAAAAGAGAGGAAGAGUCCAGCUACUUCCCCUUAAAAUUACACUGCAGGUUUGACACCAAAGCAAGACCUGAUGCCACAGGGAUCAUCAGAAUCUAGUAAACAGAAAUAUCUAAGAAGAGCAGAUGCACAUUGUGUCUUCUAGGCAUCCUCUCAGUGGCAUGGUUGAAAUCCAGAUUCUGAUCACACAAGAUUCAGCCCAGAAGGGGAACUGCAUCCUGGGUUGCGUACCAGAAGGUCAAGGGAGGUGAUUCUGCUCCUCUACUCUGCUUUCAUGAGACUCCACCUGGACUACUGCGUCAAGUUCUGGAGCCUCCAAUGUAAGAAGGACAUUGAGCUGUUGGAGCAGGUCCAGAGGAGGGAUACAAAUAUGAUCAGAAGGCUGGAGCACCUCCCCUGCAAGAACAGGCUGAGAGAGCUGGGGGUCUUCAGCCUGGAGAAGAGAAGGCUCCAUGCAGACCUUUUAGCAGCCUUCCAGUACCUGAAAGGGGCUUACAGGAAAGCUGGGGAGGAACUGUUUAUAAGAACAGGUAGCAACAGAAAAAGAGGAAAUGGUUUGAAACUGGAAGAGGUUAGAUUUAUAAAUAGAUAUCAGGAAGAAAUUAUUUACUGUGAGGAUGGUGAGACACUGGAACAAGUUGCCCAGGAGGUUGUGAAUGCCCCCUCCCUGGAAGCAUUCAAGGCCAGGCUGGAUGGGGCUUUGAGCAACCUGGUCUAGUGGGAGGUAUCCAUGCCUAUAGCAGGUGGGUUGGAACUAGAUGAUCUUAAAGGUCCCUUCCAACCCAAACCAUUCUAUGAUUCCAUGAUUCUAACAAAGAAAGGAAUAUAUUUUCUUUCAUCAUCCUUCUUGCUCUUUUUUUCUCUUUUGAACUAGAUUCCCAAUGUAGGCCAGAGGAAACUUUAUUUAUAUCCCUGCAAUUCAAGGCCCACAAACCAAUUCAUCAUGUUCCUGUUUUAUCUCAUCUGCUGUAAAG
Gallus gallus (chicken) is the source of this 1395-nucleotide long non-coding RNA. The record is from Ensembl. Lineage: Eukaryota; Metazoa; Chordata; Aves; Galliformes; Phasianidae.